This 606-nucleotide ribosomal RNA is filed under the name uncultured bacterium. RNAcentral describes it as "bacterial SSU rRNA". It matches the Rfam family "Bacterial small subunit ribosomal RNA", at positions 331 to 929 of the family's 1533-position model. The record is from RNAcentral.
CCAGACUCCUACGGGAGGCAGCAGUGGGGAAUUUUGGACAAUGGGGGCAACCCUGAUCCAGCCAUGCCGCGUGUAUGAAGAAGGCCUUCGGGUUGUAAAGUACUUUUGUUAGGGAAGAAAAGGGAAGUGCUAAUACCACUUUUUGCUGACGGUACCUAAAGAAUAAGCACCGGCUAACUACGUGCCAGCAGCCGCGGUAAUACGUAGGGUGCGAGCGUUAAUCGGAAUUACUGGGCGUAAAGCGGGCGCAGACGGUUACUUAAGCAGGAUGUGAAAUCCCCGGGCUCAACCUGGGAACUGCGUUCUGAACUGGGUGACUAGAGUGUGUCAGAGGGAGGUAGAAUUCCACGUGUAGCAGUGAAAUGCGUAGAGAUGUGGAGGAAUACCGAUGGCGAAGGCAGCCUCCUGGGAUAACACUGACGUUCAUGCCCGAAAGCGUGGGUAGCAAACAGGAUUAGAUACCCUGGUAGUCCACGCCCUAAACGAUGUCGAUUAGCUGUUGGGCAGCAUGACUGCUUAGUAGCGAAGCUAACGCGUGAAAUCGACCGCCUGGGGAGUACGGUCGCAAGAUUAAAACUCAAAGGAAUUGACGGGGGCCCGCACAAG